GCCCAGGUAGCUCAGUUGGUAGAGCAACGGACUGAAAAUCCGUGUGUCGGUGGUUCGAUUCCGCCCCUGGGCACCA
Molecule: transfer RNA, 76 nt
Filed under: Alphaproteobacteria bacterium
Lineage: Bacteria; Pseudomonadati; Pseudomonadota; Alphaproteobacteria
Also listed under: 2 other names
Description: tRNA-Phe
Rfam family: tRNA
About the family: Transfer RNA (tRNA) molecules are approximately 80 nucleotides in length. Their secondary structure includes four short double-helical elements and three loops (D, anti-codon, and T loops). Further hydrogen bonds mediate the characteristic L-shaped molecular structure. tRNAs have two regions of fundamental functional importance: the anti-codon, which is responsible for specific mRNA codon recognition, and the 3' end, to which the tRNAs corresponding amino acid is attached (by aminoacyl-tRNA synthetases). tRNAs cope with the degeneracy of the genetic code in two manners: having more than one tRNA (with a specific anti-codon) for a particular amino acid; and 'wobble' base-pairing, i.e. permitting non-standard base-pairing at the 3rd anti-codon position.
Source: RNAcentral